AAGGAGUCUAACAUGCCCGCGAGUGUUUGGGUGUCAAACCCAGGCGCGUAAUGAAAGUGAAAAGUUGGGACCCUUUAGUGGGGCACCGACGCCCGAUCCUGACGUUCUCUGACGGAUUUGAGGCAGAGCGUGUAUGUUGGGACCCGAAAGAUGGUGAACUAUGCCUGAAUAGGGUGAAGCCAGAGGAAACUCUGGUGGAGGCUCGUAGCGAUUCUGACGUGCAAAUCGAUCGUCAAAUUUGGGUAUAGGGGCGAAAGACUAAUCGAACCAUCUAGUAGCUGGUUCCUGC
RNAcentral lists this unclassified non-coding RNA (289 nucleotides) under uncultured fungus. RNAcentral's name for it is "partial contains 5.8S rRNA, ITS2 and 28S rRNA". It matches the Rfam family "Eukaryotic large subunit ribosomal RNA", at positions 668 to 961 of the family's 3401-position model. The record is from RNAcentral. Lineage: Eukaryota; Fungi.